UACAGAGGUCUCAAGCGUUGUUCGGAUUCAUUGGGCGUAAAGGGUGCGUAGGCUGCAUGGUAAGUCGGAUGUGAAAUCUUGGAGCUUAACUCCAAAACUGCAUUCGAUACUGCUGUGCUUGAAGACUGAAGAGGAGAUUGGAAUUCACGGUGUAGCAGUGAAAUGCGUAGAUAUCGUGAGGAAGACCAGUGGCGAAAGCGAAUCUCUAGGCAGAUCUUGACGCUGAUGCACGAAGGCCAGGGGAGCAAACGGG
RNAcentral lists this ribosomal RNA (253 nucleotides) under uncultured bacterium. RNAcentral describes it as "partial 16S ribosomal RNA". It matches the Rfam family "Bacterial small subunit ribosomal RNA", at positions 524 to 776 of the family's 1533-position model. The record is from RNAcentral.